This is a long non-coding RNA of Papaver somniferum (opium poppy), 2610 nucleotides long. RefSeq lists it as uncharacterized. The record is from RefSeq and is a predicted model, not a curated record. Lineage: Eukaryota; Viridiplantae; Streptophyta; Magnoliopsida; Ranunculales; Papaveraceae. The transcript has 4 exons.
ACCAGCCUUUUAUCUCUCUUCACUUCUCUGCAAAAGAAAAUUUGCUAUCCUCCAAACACCACGAACUAGAAACUCCAUCGAUUCUAAAACCUCAUCUAUAUCUCUAUAUUCCAUUACAAUUUUAGUUUUCUCUCGCAACUUCUUUCACAGCCGAUCGAAAUCUCUAUCUUUCUCUCGAUUUUUUUCUCAAUGAAAAUCAUUGGGGGUAGAGAUUCUUUUCAAUUGAAUCACGAAGAAACUAGGGUAUAGAUUCUUCUCAAUUGAUUCAUGAAGAAACUAGGGUAUAGAUUCUUCUUAAUUGAGUCAUGAAGAAAUUUAGGGUUCUUCAAAUGAAAUUUAUUUUCCAAGGAGAUUACUCAUUACAACUAUUUUUCUGUGAUUCAUAAGAUUUACUCCUAUGGGUACUGAGAUUAUUAUUAGAUCUACUCGUACUCAAGAUGUUCUUCAGUGUGUCAUUUCUCUCUCAGGGUGUCUUUUGUUUUAAGAUUUUGGGGAUUUUUGUCACUGGAUCUGAUUUUGGAGGUUUUUUUGACUUACGGCAGAAACAUGUUCUUUGUUGCUGUGAAGUGUAUAGAUGAUUAGUUUGUCGACAUAAUUUUGUGUGUAUCUGGCUAAUUAAACUUUUGGGGGUUAUGGCAGAUACGUAAGGUUUUUAUCUCAAUUUUAAUUUCAAUUUGAAUCUCAUUUUUAAUUUUUGAUUCAAAGAAUGUUAAACGGAAAAGUGCUUGUUUUGCUUGAUUUUAAUAGCUCAUUUGCUUUUCUACUUUGAUGCAUGUGCUUGGUUUUGAAGCUGGAAGACCCUACAUAGCCAGGACAAAUACUAUGAUCUGCUGUUUUCAAUGCUUGUACUAUAAUCACUAGAUUUACAAGGAUUGUUGGAGAACUUUUUGGCGUGCUGAUUGCGGUCGUUUUGAUUCAAGAGGCCAUUAAAGGAAUGGUUAGUGAAUUUUCAGUUUCGAAGUCUGGAAAUCCAAAUGAAGAAAGAUAUCAAUUUCAGUGCGUGGCUGUAUACAAAUGGACUGUUGGGACUAAUCUUCACCUUUGGACUUCUCUCUACUUCUUUAAAAAGCAGGAGGGCCAGGUCCUGGCGUUAUGGCACAUGUCUGGAACCGUUUUAAACUCAUCUAACUUUGUACUUCUAUAUAAGAGUAUUUAUAACUUGAAAACAUUUUCGAACUGAUUUGUUAUAACAGAAUUCCUCGGAAGCUUUAUUGUAGACUAUGGGUUCCUUUCAUUGUUGUGGUGUGGACAUCAAUGUCAUAAAGUAUUCUAGGCAAAGUUCCAUAUGGAGUUCCACGAAGGCUUUAUACUCCUCUUCCAUGGAAAUCUGCAUCGUUAUAUCAUUGGACAGUAAUCAAGGUAAUUACUUAGAUCAACGUACAUGCACAAAUUUAAAUUUUUAGUUGUUGUAUAUGGCUGAAAUGUUAUGUCGAAACUGCAGGAUAUGGGAAAAGUCUCUUACAUUUUUGCUGCCAUUAUACCAUAUAUAAUGGUAGCUGCUCUUUACUUUUUCGACCACACUGUUGUUUCUUCAGAUACCAACAGAAGGAAUUCAAUCUAAAAAAGCCAUAUGCUUACCACUAUGACAUUUUGUUGCUUGGUUUUAUGGUAUAAUUAAUUACUAAGAUAUCGAUCAGAUUAGUUCAUUGGUUCAUCCAUAUUGUCAUAACUCUAUUAUCUUACUUUUUCUCAACUUGAGUCCAUGAUUUUAGGUUCUGAUAUGUGGAUUGCUAGGACUUCCUCCUACAAAUGGGGUAUUUCCAAAGUCUCCUAUGCACACAAAGAGCCUCGCUGUUCUUAAGAGAACAGUAGUCAGGAAAAUGGGGCAACCUUAAUGAAGUUCGGGUAUGCAUUGUGUUUUUUGAUGUUCCAUUUUACGGCCUCACUCCUAAUGGUUAAAGAACAGUAUUCAGGAAAAUGGUUCUGUUCAGAACACAUUCGGUUUUGUUUUCUUUAUAUUUUGUUAAUGAGCCUUACCUUUAAUUUUUGGUGUUGUGGAUUCGCUCUUCUACUAAUGACUAUGAGAGCAAUGGUGAAAAAAAAUCAUUUCAUGGGAGUGUUCAAGCCUCGGCAUCUUCUGAUUCUCUUCGUCUAGAAAUUCUUAAUGGUGUUGUGAAGAAAAAAAUUGCACAACAACACUUCUUGCAGCAAUGAAUAAGGUUAGUUUCAGCUAAAUUUAGCAAUAUUUUUUGCACAAGUUAUAUUUCUAGAUCAGACCCCAAUAAGAAUGCUUUGAAAGAUCCAUUUGUCUUCACUGGAAAUGCGAAUGAAGCUCCAUCAAUUUUGACAACUGUUGGAGAUGAUGAGUAUUUGAAUGGAGAAGCUCAGGAACGACGUUCUUUGUCAUAUGUGAACCUGGGACACAACACAUGGAUGCUCUACUUGAUAUCAUUUAUGAAGUAUUGGCUAAGUUCAUCCUCAUUGAAGGAGCUUAUCGGUUUGUUGUUUAUUGUCUAUUAGUUUAGCAUCUUGUUGUUAGAACUUACUAGCUAGCUAGAUUUGACAUGUAUUGUUCUGAAUCAAAAUUUCAUCUUUUUUGUGUAAUUUUAAACCCAAUGGAUAAAAUGAAUGAAUGAAUGUGGAAUUCUCAAGUUUGAGUUUAAAUUUGAA